RNAcentral lists this ribosomal RNA (422 nucleotides) under uncultured Opitutia bacterium. RNAcentral describes it as "uncultured Opitutae bacterium partial 16S ribosomal RNA". It matches the Rfam family "Bacterial small subunit ribosomal RNA", at positions 355 to 774 of the family's 1533-position model. Lineage: Bacteria; Pseudomonadati; Verrucomicrobiota; Opitutia. The record is from RNAcentral.
UUUCGAAUCAUUCACAAUGGGCGCAAGCUUGAUGGUGCGACGCCGCGUGGGGGACGAAGGUCCUCGGAUUGUAAACCCCUGUCAAUAGGGACUAAAUUUUACGUUAGUAGCGUAAAUUGAAUUAACCUAUAGAGGAAGUAGUGGCAAACUCUGUGCCAGCAGCCGCGGUAAUACAGAGACUACAAGCGUUACUCGGAUUCACUGGGCGUAAAGGGAGUGUAGGCGGUUUUAUGUGUCUGCUGUGAAAUCUUGGGGCUUAACCCCAAAAUUGCGGUGGAAACUAUAGAACUAGAGUAUUGGAGAGGUAAGCGGAAUUCUAAGUGUAGCAGUGAAAUGCGUAGAUAUUUAGAGGAACACCGAAGGCGAAGGCAGCUUACUGGACAAUAACUGACGCUGAGGCUCGAAAGCGUGGGGAGCAAAAG